Pipra filicauda (Wire-tailed manakin) is the source of this 284-nucleotide long non-coding RNA. RefSeq lists it as uncharacterized. NCBI's taxonomy places the organism in Eukaryota, Metazoa, Chordata, Aves, Passeriformes, Pipridae. The record is from RefSeq and is a predicted model, not a curated record. The transcript is spliced from 2 exons.
ACUAGACCAGGUUACUCAGAACCCCAUCCAGCCUGGUCUUGAACGCUUCCAGGGAUGGGGAGUUCCCAGCCUUUGUGUGCAGAGGUUUUGGAACACAGAUGCUCACAGAAGUGUGUUAAAUGGAUUACGCUUCCAUUAUUUUAACUUGUUUAUUUGCAACAUGAGAACAGCAUGAAGUAAACACCUGGGAAGUUUCAACUGGAAAAGAUCAGAUGUUCUUCAGUUAUAAAGGCACAAAAAUAGCAUCUUUUUAGAACAAGCACAUAAAAAAAAAGUUCAGAAAA